UACGUAGGGGCAAGCGUUGUCCGGAAUCAUUGGGCGUAAAGCGCGCGUAGGCGGCCCGGUAAGUCCGCUGUAAAAGUCAAAGGCUCAACCUUUGAAUGCCGGUGGAUACUGUCGGGCUAGAGUCCGGAAGAGGCGAGUGGAAUUCCUGGUGUAGCGGUGGAAUGCGCAGAUAUCAGGAGGAACACCAAUAGCGAAGGCAGCUCGCUGGGACGGUACUGACGCUGAGACGCGAAAGCGUGGGGAGCGAACAGG
RNAcentral lists this ribosomal RNA (252 nucleotides) under uncultured bacterium. RNAcentral describes it as "partial 16S ribosomal RNA". It matches the Rfam family "Bacterial small subunit ribosomal RNA", at positions 524 to 776 of the family's 1533-position model. The record is from RNAcentral.